GACGAACGCUGGCGGCGUGCUUAACACAUGCAAGUCGAACGGAAAGGCCCUGCUUUUGUGGGGCGCUCGAGUGGCGAACGGGUGAGUAACACGUGAGUAACCUGCCCUUGACUUUGGGAUAACUUCAGGAAACUGGGGCUAAUACCGGAUAGGAGCUCCUGCUGCAUGGUGGGGGUUGGAAAGUUUCGGCGGUUGGGGAUGGACUCGCGGCUUAUCAGCUUGUUGGUGGGGUAGUGGCUUACCAAGGCUUUGACGGGUAGCCGGCCUGAGGGGGUGACCGGCCACAUUGGGACUGAGAUACGGCCCAGACUCCUACGGGAGGCAGCAGUGGGGAAUAUUGCACAAUGGGCGGAAGCCUGAUGCAGCAACGCCGCGUGCGGGAUGACGGCCUUCGGGUUGUAAACCGCUUUCGCCUGUGACGAAGCGUGAGUGACGGUAAUGGGUAAAGAAGCACCGGCUAACUACGUG
RNAcentral lists this ribosomal RNA (468 nucleotides) under uncultured bacterium. RNAcentral's name for it is "partial 16S ribosomal RNA". It matches the Rfam family "Bacterial small subunit ribosomal RNA", at positions 28 to 507 of the family's 1533-position model. The record is from RNAcentral.